This 868-nucleotide ribosomal RNA is filed under the name uncultured archaeon. Its description in RNAcentral is "bacterial SSU rRNA". It matches the Rfam family "Archaeal small subunit ribosomal RNA", at positions 1 to 878 of the family's 1478-position model. The record is from RNAcentral.
CUCCGGUUGAUCCUGCCGGACCCGACUGCUAUCAGAGUGGGACUAAGCCAUGCGAGUCAACAUAGCAAUAUGUGGCAUACGGCUCAGUAACACGUAGUCAACAUGCCCAGGGGACGUGGAUAACCUCGGGAAACUGAGGAUAAACCGCGAUAGGUCAUCACUUCUGGAAUGGGUAAUGACUUAAAUCUAUAUGGCCCCUGGAUUGGACUGCGGCCGAUCGGGCUGUUGGUGAGGUAAUGGCCCACCAAACCUGUAACCGGUACGGGCUCUGAGAGGAGGAGCCCGGAGAUGGGCACUGAGACAAGGGCCCAGGCCCUAUGGGGCGCAGCAGGCGCGAAACCUCUGCAAUAGGCGAAAGCUUGACAGGGUUACUCUGAGUGAUUUCCGCUAAGGGAAUCUUUUGGCACCUCUAAAAAUGGUGCAGAAUAAGGGGUGGGCAAGUCUGGUGUCAGCCGCCGCGGUAAUACCAGCACCCCGAGUGGUCGGGACGAUUAUUGGGCCUAAAGCAUCCGUAGCCGGUCCUGCAAGUCUUCCGUUAAAUCCAGCUGCUCAACAGAUGGGCUGCGGGAGAUACUACAGGGCUAGGAGGCGGGAGAGGCAAGCGGUACUUUAUGGGUAGGGGUAAAAUCCGCUGAUCCAUAGAAGACCACCAGUGGCGAAGGCGGCUUGCCAGAACGCGCUCGACGGUGAGGGAUGAAAGCUGGGGGAGCAAACCGGAUUAGAUACCCGGGUAGUCCCAGCUGUAAACGAUGCAGACUCGGUGAUGGGUUGGCCUCGCGCCUGCCCAGUGCCGCAGGGAAGCCGUUAAGUCUGCCGCCUGGGGAGUACGGUCGCAAGACUGAAACUUAAAGGAAUUGGCGGGGGAGCA